AGAACGAACGCUGGCGGCAUGCCUAAUACAUGCAAGUCGAACGAGAUCUUCGGAUCUAGUGGCGCACGGGUGCGUAACGCGUGGGAAUCUACCCUUGGGUUCGGAAUAACAGUUGGAAACGACUGCUAAUACCGGAUGAUGACGAAAGUCCAAAGAUUUAUCGCCCAAGGAUGAGCCCGCGUAGGAUUAGCUAGUUGGUGAGGUAAAGGCUCACCAAGGCUACGAUCCUUAGCUGGUCUGAGAGGAUGAUCUGCCACACUGGGACUGAGACACGGCCCAGACUCCUACGGGAGGCAGCAGUAGGGAAUAUUGGACAAGUGGGGGCAACCUGAUACCAGUAAUGCCGCGUGAGGUGGUAGAAGGUCGUUAGGUUAGUAAAGCUCUUACCGAGAUGAUAA
Molecule: ribosomal RNA, 398 nt
Filed under: uncultured soil bacterium
Lineage: Bacteria
Description: bacterial SSU rRNA
Rfam family: Bacterial small subunit ribosomal RNA
Source: RNAcentral